RNAcentral lists this small RNA (142 nucleotides) under Chrysemys picta bellii (western painted turtle). RNAcentral's name for it is "TUC338 (ENSCPBG00000008012.1)". The record is from RNAcentral. Lineage: Eukaryota; Metazoa; Chordata; Testudines; Emydidae.
CAGAUGGCAAUGGAGAUCAAUCCUCCAACCACAACAUAGACAGAUUCCUCACUCUUGCACCUCACUCCUGGCUUAGAGAGAGACCCCUUCUAAGAGUGAGAGGGGAGUUAAGUCUCCAUAACCCAUUCAAUCCAGGCCUUUC